AGCCACUAUUAUAAAACGAUAACUGCAGUCGCUAUCGAGCUGACCUGUGGCGCCCGAUGGGUCAGUUGGGACGCUGGGACAAACACCGAAAACACCGAAUCAAAAAGUAAAAGAAAGCACAAGACAGCAAAUGGAGAAGCAACAGGAAACGAAAGGACCAGGGAAAAGGAAAGGUGGUGAUGACAACAGACUCACCUCUCCUCCCACAAAACGUCAGGCAAUCUGUGACGUCACCAACCAGGGAAUCAAGACUGGAACGACGGUUGGAGAAUGCAGCUCUAGUACUAGACCAGUAAGCAGCACUGACAAAACAGAGGAAAACACUGAUGACAG
Long non-coding RNA from Branchiostoma floridae (Florida lancelet), 333 nucleotides. RefSeq lists it as uncharacterized. The record is from RefSeq and is a predicted model, not a curated record. Lineage: Eukaryota; Metazoa; Chordata; Leptocardii; Amphioxiformes; Branchiostomatidae. The transcript has 3 exons.